GAGUUUGAUCCUGGCUCAGGGUUAACGCUGGCGGUGCGCAUAACACAUGCAAGUCGAGCGAGGGCUUAUUUCUCGCAAGAGAGAUGAGUUCCUAGCGGCGAACGGGUGAGUAACACGUGGGCAACCUUUCCUAUCGCGGGGGAUAACACCGGGAAACCGAUGCUAAUACCGCAUGUCGUCACUGGUCGCAUGGCUGGUGAAGAAAGCAGCAAUGCACGAUGGGGUGGGCCCGCGGCCUAUCAGCUAGUCGGUGGGGUAACGGCCUACCGAGGCGAUGACGGGUAGCUGGUCUGAGAGGACGGCCAGCCACACGGGGGACUGAGACACGGCCCCGACUCCUACGGGAGGCAGCAGUGAGGAAUCUUCCGCAAUGGGCGAAAGCCUGACGGAGCGACACCGCGUGUGGGAUGAAGUCUUUCGGGAUGUAAACCACUGUCGGAGGGGAAGACAAAAAAG
This 456-nucleotide ribosomal RNA is filed under the name uncultured bacterium. RNAcentral describes it as "bacterial SSU rRNA". It matches the Rfam family "Bacterial small subunit ribosomal RNA", at positions 9 to 456 of the family's 1533-position model. The record is from RNAcentral.